This 459-nucleotide ribosomal RNA is filed under the name Streptococcus mutans. RNAcentral describes it as "bacterial SSU rRNA". It matches the Rfam family "Bacterial small subunit ribosomal RNA", at positions 28 to 465 of the family's 1533-position model. Lineage: Bacteria; Bacillati; Bacillota; Bacilli; Lactobacillales; Streptococcaceae. The record is from RNAcentral.
GACGAACGCUGGCGGCGUGCCUAAUACAUGCAAGUGGGACGCAAGAGGACACACUGUGCUUGCACACCGUGUUUUCUUGAGUCGCGAACGGGUGAGUAACGCGUAGGUAACCUGCCUAUUAGCGGGGGAUAACUAUUGGAAACGAUAGCUAAUACCGCAUAAUAUUAAUUAUUGCAUGAUAAUUGAUUGAAAGAUGCAAGCGCAUCACUAGUAGAUGGACCUGCGUUGUAUUAGCUAGUUGGUAAGGUAAGAGCUUACCAAGGCGACGAUACAUAGCCGACCUGAGAGGGUGAUCGGCCACACUGGGACUGAGACACGGCCCAGACUCCUACGGGAGGCAGCAGUAGGGAAUCUUCGGCAAUGGACGAAAGUCUGACCGAGCAACGCCGCGUGAGUGAAGAAGGUUUUCGGAUCGUAAGGCUCUGUUGUAAGUCAAGAACGUGUGGAGAGGGAAAGUUC